RNAcentral lists this non-coding RNA (148 nucleotides) under Gorilla gorilla gorilla (western lowland gorilla). Lineage: Eukaryota; Metazoa; Chordata; Mammalia; Primates; Hominidae. The record is from Rfam by way of RNAcentral.
GCCGGGCAUGGUGGCGCGUGCCUGUAAUCCCAGAUACUCAGGAGGCUGAGGCAGGAGAAUCGCUUGAACCUGGGAUGUGGAGGUUGCAGUGAGCCAAGACGGUGCCACUGCACUCCAGCCUGGACAACAGAGCGAGACUCUGUCUCUA